UUGCUCUUACAUGAACAAGAUCUGUUCUAUAGGCUGGUACCGCUGCAUCCUUUACCGAUAAGGAGGCAAGCACUUCAGUCUGGUUGAUGGCAUUCUCACCUCUGAGCUAGAGCGUGAUUAACGGCCAGGAACCCCUCUGAUGGGUGCAUCCAACGGCUGUAGAAGAUCGCUCCUGAGUAUGUACAAAGAGUUUCACAUAGGUUUAUAUGAGGCUGGCA
RNAcentral lists this small nucleolar RNA (218 nucleotides) under Aegilops tauschii subsp. strangulata. RNAcentral's name for it is "snoRNA Plant_U3". It matches the Rfam family "Plant small nucleolar RNA U3". From Rfam's summary of the family: Small nucleolar RNAs (snoRNAs) are involved in the processing and modification of rRNA in the nucleolus. There are two main classes of snoRNAs: the box C/D class, and the box H/ACA class. U3 snoRNA is a member of the box C/D class. Lineage: Eukaryota; Viridiplantae; Streptophyta; Magnoliopsida; Poales; Poaceae. The record is from RNAcentral.